Molecule: ribosomal RNA, 253 nt
Filed under: uncultured bacterium
Lineage: Bacteria
Description: partial 16S ribosomal RNA
Rfam family: Bacterial small subunit ribosomal RNA
Source: RNAcentral
UACGUAGGGGGCAAGCGUUGUCCGGAUUUAUUGGGCGUAAAGAGCGUGUAGGCGGCCACACAGGUCUGCUGUGAAAACUCGAGGCUCAACCUCGAGCUGUCGGUGGAAACCGUGUGGCUAGAGUCCGGAAGAGGAGAGUGGAAUUCCCGGUGUAGCGGUGAAAUGCGCAGAUAUCGGGAAGAACACCCGUGGCGAAGGCGGCUCUCUGGGACGGUACUGACGCUGAGACGCGAAAGCGUGGGGAGCGAACGGG